UGGGGAAUCUUGGACAAUGGGCGAAAGCCUGAUCCAGCCAUGCCGCGUGAGUGAUGAAGGCCCUAGGGUCGUAAAGCUCUUUCGCCAGGGAUGAUAAUGACAGUACCUGGUAAAGAAACCCCGGCUAACUCCGUGCCAGCAGCCGCGGUAAUACGUAGGGGGCAAGCGUUGUCCGGAAUUAUUGGGCGUAAAGAGCUCGUAGGCGGCUUGGUAAGUCGGCCGUGAAAACCAAAGGCUCAACCUUUGGAUGUCGGUCGAUACUGCCAUGGCUGGAGUCCGGUAGAGGAGAGUGGAAUUCCCGGUGUAGCGGUGAAAUGCGCAGAUAUCGGGAGGAACACCAGUAGCGAAGGCGGCUCUCUGGGCCGGAACUGACGCUGAGGAGCGAAAGCGUGGGUAGCAAACAGGAUUAGAUACCCCGGUAGUCC
This 425-nucleotide ribosomal RNA is filed under the name uncultured prokaryote. Its description in RNAcentral is "bacterial SSU rRNA". It matches the Rfam family "Bacterial small subunit ribosomal RNA", at positions 355 to 796 of the family's 1533-position model. The record is from RNAcentral.